This 1514-nucleotide ribosomal RNA is filed under the name metagenome. Its description in RNAcentral is "bacterial SSU rRNA". It matches the Rfam family "Bacterial small subunit ribosomal RNA". The record is from RNAcentral.
AUCCUGGCUCAGAAUGAACGCUGGCGGCGUGCUUAACACAUGCAAGUCGCACGAGAACGUUCCAGCUUGCUGGAGCAAGUAAAGUGGCGCACGGGUGAGUAACGCGUGGAUGAUCUACCCUUGAAUUUGGGAUAACUCUUCGAAAGGGGAGCUAAUACCGGAUAACAUCACAUUUUUUUCGAAUUUUGUGAUCAAAGAUGGCCUCUCCAUGGAAGCUAUUGUUUAAGGAUGAGUCCGCGUACCAUUAGCUAGUUGGUAGGGUAAAGGCCUACCAAGGCAACGAUGGUUAGCUGGUCUGAGAGGAUGACCAGUCACACUGGAACUGACACACGGUCCAGACUCCUACGGGAGGCAGCAGUGAGGAAUUUUGCGCAAUGGGGGAAACCCUGACGCAGCAACGCCGCGUGAGUGAUGAAGGCCUUCGGGUCGUAAAGCUCUGUCAAGUGGGAAGAACCUAUGUGUGGGUAAUAUUCACAUGUACUGACGGUACCACUGAAGGAAGCACCGGCUAACUCCGUGCCAGCAGCCGCGGUAAUACGGGGGGUGCAAGCGUUAUUCGGAAUUAUUGGGCGUAAAGGGCGCGUAGGCGGUCUUGUUAGUCAGAUGUGAAAGCCCGGGGCUCAACCCCGGAAGUGCAUUUGAAACGGCAAGACUUGAGUAUGGGAGAGGGAAGUGGAAUUCCUGGUGUAGAGGUGAAAUUCGUAGAUAUCAGGAGGAACAUCUGUGGCGAAGGCGACUUCCUGGACCAAUACUGACGCUAAUGCGCGAAGGCGUGGGUAGCAAACAGGAUUAGAUACCCUGGUAGUCCACGCAGUAAACGGUGAUCACUAGGUGUAGCGGGUAUUGACCCCUGCUGUGCCGCAGUUAACGCAUUAAGUGAUCCGCCUGGGGAGUACGAUCGCAAGAUUAAAACUCAAAGGAAUUGACGGGGGCCCGCACAAGCGGUGGAGCAUGUGGUUUAAUUCGACGCAACGCGAAGAACCUUACCUGGAUUUGACAUCCCGGGAAUCCCUUAGAAAUUUGGGAGUGCCCUUCGGGGAGCCUGGAGACAGGUGCUGCAUGGCUGUCGUCAGCUCGUGUCGUGAGAUGUUGGGUUAAGUCCCGCAACGAGCGCAACCCUUAUCUUUAGUUACCAGCACUUCGGGUGGGGACUCUAGAGAUACUGCCCCGGUCAACGGGGAGGAAGGUGGGGAUGACGUCAAGUCCUCAUGGCCUUUAUGUCCAGGGCUACACACGUGCUACAAUGGGCGGAACAAAGGGUAGCAAUGCCGCGAGGUGGAGCUAAUCUCAAAAAGCCGUUCCAAGUUCGGAUUGGAGUCUGCAACUCGACACCAUGAAGCUGGAAUCGCUAGUAAUCGCGGAUCAGCAUGCCGCGGUGAAUACGCUCCCGGGCCUUGUACACACCGCCCGUCACACCAUGAGAGUUGGUUGUACCAGAAGUUGUUGGGCUAACUCAAUCGAGAGGCAGGCACCUAAGGUAUGGCUGAUGAUUGGGGUGAAGUCGUAACAAGGUA